Molecule: ribosomal RNA, 484 nt
Filed under: uncultured bacterium
Lineage: Bacteria
Description: partial 16S ribosomal RNA
Rfam family: Bacterial small subunit ribosomal RNA
Source: RNAcentral
AUUGAACGCUGUCGGCAGGCCUAACACAUGCAAGUCGAGCGGAUGAAGGGAGCUUGCUCCUGGAUUCAGCGGCGGACGGGUGAGUAAUGCCUAGGAAUCUGCCUGGUAGUGGGGGAUAACGUCCGGAAACGGGCGCUAAUACCGCAUACGUCCUGAGGGAGAAAGUGGGGGAUCUUCGGACCUCACGCUAUCAGAUGAGCCUAGGUCGGAUUAGCUAGUUGGUGGGGUAAAGGCCUACCAAGGCGACGAUCCGUAACUGGUCUGAGAGGAUGAUCAGUCACACUGGAACUGAGACACGGUCCAGACUCCUACGGGAGGCAGCAGUGGGGAAUAUCGGACAAUGGGCGAAAGCCUGAUCCAGCCAUGCCGCGUGUGUGAAGAAGGUCUUCGGAUUGUAAAGCACUUUAAGUUGGGAGGAAGGGCAGUAAGUUAAUACCUUGCUGUUUUGACGUUACCAACAGAAUAAGCACCGGCUAACUUCGUG